GCCCGGGUGGCGAAACGGCAGACGCAUCGGACUUAAAAUCCGAAGGAGUGUAACAGCUCCGUGUGGGUUCGAAUCCCGCCUCGGGCACCG
RNAcentral lists this transfer RNA (90 nucleotides) under Armatimonadota bacterium. Its description in RNAcentral is "Armatimonadetes bacterium (sediment metagenome) tRNA-Leu". It matches the Rfam family "tRNA". From Rfam's summary of the family: Transfer RNA (tRNA) molecules are approximately 80 nucleotides in length. The record is from RNAcentral. Lineage: Bacteria; Bacillati; Armatimonadota.